Molecule: long non-coding RNA, 478 nt
Organism: Calliphora vicina (urban bluebottle blowfly)
Lineage: Eukaryota; Metazoa; Arthropoda; Insecta; Diptera; Calliphoridae
Exons: 3
Source: RefSeq, a predicted model, not a curated record
AACAAGGUGGCCAGAUUGCCGGCGGCGCUGGUAUGCUCGCGUUUGCCUGGCUGGGAACUCGCCGGAGGGGGUGGUCCUUGCCAGCAAUCCGGAUCGAAAACACACACUAUCACAAAAAUCAUACCAGCAAAACGUUACUGCUUUCCCGCUCUAUUCCCUGGCGGCCAACUAAUUUUGCAGAAGAAUCUCCCGGGUGAGGAUAGGGUAGAUGGAUAUUUCCUGUCAGUGACGUGUCUAAAUGUCUAAGUAGUUCGAGGAGAAUUACCUAUAUAAGAUUUAGGAAAAUCUUGGGUUAAUUAACCUCGCGACUCACUGUUCCCUAGGCCAGAGCUCUAACCUAACUCGCGCACGCGUGGUUAAGGUUCACACGCGGGAUGGACUUUGCGAUACUUAAGACUUCCUAUUUUUUUAUAUAAAUAUCUCACUAAUCACCUUUUUUUUAUUUUAUAAAUAUUUCUUUUUUUUUUUUUUUAUUUUC